UUACUUCCGGUGCCAGCGAGCGGACGUCUGUGGGAGGGACAUCCGGUAUGACACAGCUCCUAUUGGGAGACCAUUUUGAUUAACAGCUACCUUUCCGGUUGGACUUGGCAGACAGUUCUGCUGCUUGAAAGGCAUAUGCACGCGACAGAGCGAAUUAUAGAAAAAGCUCUCCUAUCCGGUGUUCAGGUAACCGGCACACUCAAGUAACUAGCACAAUUCCGAAAUUCACGGAAAACUAAUGAAAUAAUAAGAAACAACGAAGAAUUCCGAAAUACGUGUAUUCGUUCCUGCGUGUGCCUUCCGCUCGUCCUGCUAUUGUUUACGUCGCGAUCUCUUGUGUUGCAUCGAAUAUCUAUCUUUAUUCGACAUCACUUCAUUGUUCUCUCAACAUGGAGACGUCAAACAAAAGAAAGAGAGUAGUACUGAGUAUCAAGGAGAAGAUAGAAAUAUGUGAUCGUCUGGAGAAGGGGGACAGCCGCACCACUAUUAUGAAGGAAUAUAAUAUUGGAUCUUCUACUAUCUAUGAUAUCAAGAGUAAGGCCCAGAAGUUGAGAGAUUUUAUGAAGAAGUCUGAAAGUACUCUUGCUAUAGAGUCACGACAUACACUUCAACAGGCUCGCCUAAAACAUUUAGAUAAAGUCCUGUAUGAGUGGUUUUGCAUCCAACGUUCGGAGGGCGCCCGCAUCACUGGGCCUCUUCUACAGGAGAAAGCCAAAGAGUUCACUGAGAAGAUGAAUUUAAAAAGCGAUUGCAAGUUUUCUGAUGGCUGGCUGGCGCGAUUCAAAAUUCGUCACGGAAUACGACGGUUCGAUUUGUCAGAUCAUCGAAAAUCAGCCAAUCAGCCAUCAGCUGAAGAGUUUAAAGAGAAAUUUGCCGAGCUUGUUGAUGAACUGGUGUUAACCCCAGAGCAGAUUUACAACGCCAGUGAAACUGGGCUGCUUUAUCGAUGUUUACCUGCAAGUACCUUAGUAUGUAAAGGCAAAGUGGCAAAGCUGAAUAAGGAUCGCCUUACUGUUUUAAUGUGCGCUAAUAUGGCUGGUACGCAUAAGCUUAAGUUAUGUGUUAUCGGAAAAAAUCAGACUCCACCUUGUUUCGAGAACCUUUCAUUUAUACCUGUUGACUAUCGUGCACAGUCAAAUGCCUUGAUGACCAGUGAAAUCUUUUUGGAUUGGUUCCGGCAUGCCUUUGUGCCUGCCGUUAAAGAACAUUUACUCAUUAAGGGCCUGCCUGAACAUAGUAAAGUUGUGCUUCUGUUGGAUAAUUACAAAUCUAACCCUCCUGCACAAGAACUUGUUGUGGAUAAUGUAUAUGUGCUGUUUGUACCCCAUAAUGUGACAGGUCUUAUCCAACCAAUGGGUGAAGGUUUCAUUCAGAACUUCAAAAUGCAUUAUCGUCGUAACUUAAUGUGCAAACUCUUGGCAUACGAAGGCUCAGUUGCAGACUUUCAGGAGAACUUUAAUGUGAAGAAUGCAGUAUUCAUGGCAUCUUUGGCAUGGGAUGAUGUUCAGCAAGAGACACUAGAGCGAUGUUGGCGUAACCUAUAUCGUGUGGCUGUGUUUCUCCCUAAAAUGGAAGAGAAUGAGUUUGAUGGCACUGAGAUACUUAAUAAUGGAUGCUCACUCUCCAAAGAAAUAAUUAACCUGGUUGUUGAAUCAGGGAAAGAAAUUAAAGUGAGGAAGAAAGUAAUUGAUGAAUGGCUACAAGUCGACAAAGAUGUUCCUGUCACACUGACAAUUAAUGAUGAAGAUAUCAUUGAAUUUGUGCUACGAAAUCAAGAUGUAAAGGAGGAUUUGGAGAGCGAUGAGGAGGAAGAACCAAAACGUAAGAUUUCCUGGUCAGAAGCAGCUAAAGGCUUGAGCACGUUUAUUUCCUUUGCAGAGCAGCCAACCUGUGUGACUGCUGAUCAAGUUAUGAGCCUUCACGUAAUCGAAAAUGAGUUCCUGAAUCAAAGAUGCAAAGCACGGAAAUGUGUGACAGCCAGUCCGUCUCCUGAUCAUUCAAAGUCUCACGUAUUCUAAAUUAGGUGAGUUAUAUAUGAGAUGCCAAUCCUGAAAGGGGUUGGGGGCAGGCAUUAUGUAUUUGUUUUCAAGAUGGUUAUCCUGCAGAGAAACAUUGCUCGUCUUAUUUUUAAAACGAUGGACUAUGUUCAUAAAGUCAGGGGAUAUUCAGAGACACUAGUUGAUUAACUGCCUAUCUUUUGGUUGUGAAAAUAUACUCUGAACCCCAGAGAUGUGACCAAAUAUCCUUUCAGCCAGGUUUGUUUUGGUGAAUUUGUAAUUCAGAGGUCAUCAUCUCUUACACAGUUUGGACUUUCAAUGCCUUUACAGAUUGAGACAUUGAGUAGUAUUUUACCUAGUUCUGAAAAUGACAAUGUUGUACUAAAAUUCUUGGCUCAGUGGGACAUCAGUGUUUUGUAUAUUUUUGAAUGAAAUUGAUGCUGCUAUUUUUGUAAUUUGAUUUUACAAUUUUGUAUAAAUUUUUAAAGUUUAGCAAAUUUUAUUCAAUAAUUGCAUUUUUGUAUGCAUUUUAAAUGAUGAAAUACUUUUGUUUGCAAAACAACUUUAUCAAUACAAUUGUUCCAAAUAACAUUAUUGAUGGAGACAAAUUUCAAUUGGUUGUUUUGUUCAGGGCACAAAUCAGUUAUGGUUUAGACUAUUUCUAAAUAGGACUGUGAUAAGAAUGACUUAAUUUUGUAAUGAAGGAACAAGGUCACCUAUUGUCCAUUUGACAGAGUAGUGGAUUAAACUUAAAAGGUCUGUUAUUUAUCACACAAUUCGGAUAAUGAUUUUUUUCUGUAAGAAAUGUAUGCUUGCCAGAAAUGACAGUUUUCCUUCCAGUUAGCAUGCUGUAUGCACAGCAUUAAAUAACUAUUGGCUGUGUGUGCUGGUGCAUUGUGCAGUACUAAAUACACCAUCACUGUGAAGACACUGUUAGGUGUAGCCAUUGAUUUUGAGGAACUUGACAUAUUCCGUGUGGUUUUCUAUUUUGAGAUGUAGAAGUACAUCUGCAGUACAUGAAAAAAUAAAGUUAUGUGUCUAUAUAGGCAGCAAAGAAAAAGUUAAAAAUAAAAACCAUUUCAAAGAGUGUUGGAAUAACUUAGGGAAGAAAUUUAAUGGCUGCUGAAACUCGUCCAAAAUCAAGCUGCAUCUAAAAAACAAAUAAAAAUAAAAAACCAUACAUAUAACUUAGUAAUAUGAACACAAAUACAUAUAUAAACUUACCGCAAAAAGUAAUCGUUUGGUCGAUUAUUUCUUUGUUGUGACAAUGCUUGACAAUAAAUCUUAUACCAUUGGAAAGCUUGUUUAUUUCCCUUUUAACUGGUGCCACAUUUGUAAGGAAAAUGCAUCUGACAGGGUGAGAAAAUGGUUUUCUUGUGGUGUUGUGUUCUUGGGACGACCCCUUCACGGCCUGGUACUAGGGUUCACUUCAAAUAAUGCAGCAACCUGCUUGUGUGAAACACCGGCUUGAAGCUGCCCGAUGACACGAGCCCUAUCCAGAUCAGUCAAACGUGGCAUGCUUGGAGCAGACUCCAACUGACCAGGCAGUGGAUUGUCAGCACCUGGGGUAGCAGAAGCUCGAAAUAUGAGUCAAUAGCAGAAUUAUCUGUAUGGCACUGGCAGAGAAGAUCUGGCAAGGUUCUACUGGGGCACAACCCACAUACACAACUCUGCUGCUUGGCCCACAAAUGCAUUUUCUUUACAAACGUGGCAUAAUUUAAAAGGGAAAGAAACAGGCUUUCCAACGGCAAGAAGCAAAAGCAGUCACAACAAAGAAAGAAUCGACCAAACGCAAAUUUCCUUACUUUUUUUGCUGUUUUUUUAAUGUGUGUGUGUGAAUAUAUGUAUAUAAACACACAGCAAUCGCUUAAACAGCAUUUGACAUGACAUAAAUAAACCAGGCAUUAAUGUUUCACAAGAAGGUUUAAUAAUACAAUAAAUAGCACAGAGAUUUUGUAAACCUAUUAUAAUGAAUGCAAAUAGGAACUACCCCCCCUCUGCUCUCACUGUAAUUUGUGUACGAGCUGGAAUUGGCUUCAGGAAACAGUAUGUUUUGUAAAGCAUUGUUGUAAAUUCUGUGUGGGUAAACUUUGAUUGUACAUUCAAAUAGACAUGUUUACCCUGGACUUUGUGCUGCUAUUACAGAGGAUGACAGCCAUGGGGAAGUUUGCUUCAGAGGUCCUGGAGACAGCUCCCUUGCUCAAUAAGGGCCUUGGUAAACUGCCUGAACACACGGUCCAUGUAGGUGCUCUGACGGGGCCACAGUCCUUCAAGGAAGCCAAUGUGGCCCCCGUGAGAGGUGACCAGUAGUGCUAGAUUUGGGUUUUGCUUCACUCUCUCCACAGGAAUGGCUAAGGAUCAGAAGGAAGUGAAUGGUCACAUGGGGGCAGGGACAUGACAUGGAACUGUACAGCAUCAAUAAAAGAAUUUAUUAGCCGCAUGGAGGUCUCUGGAUUUAGCCGAGGAGUUUCACCCAUCAUGAGCUUACCAUGACCAGGGGAGAAAACGUCAUCAGCUGCAUUCAAGCACAGCAUGGGGAUCUGCACUGAUUUUAGGCGAUGAACAGGGCUGGCAUCUCGGUAAUAGUCAUUAUUGGUCGCGUAGUCGAAGAUGACGGAUGUGAACCUCUCGUCAAACUCUCGGAUGGUUCUUGCCUACA
Molecule: RNA transcript, 4656 nt
Organism: Brienomyrus brachyistius
Lineage: Eukaryota; Metazoa; Chordata; Actinopteri; Osteoglossiformes; Mormyridae
Gene name: jerky protein homolog
Exons: 2
Source: RefSeq, a predicted model, not a curated record